Carica papaya (papaya) is the source of this 412-nucleotide non-coding RNA. Lineage: Eukaryota; Viridiplantae; Streptophyta; Magnoliopsida; Brassicales; Caricaceae. The record is from RefSeq and is a predicted model, not a curated record.
UGCUCACCAAAUUGCGGUUUGCUCUGAUGGAAGGAUUGUUGAACUGGGUACCCAUUUUGAUUUACUAGCUAUGAAAGGGAUUAGAUUUGAUGGGUCAAUGGCGGACAUGGGUGAAGCGGGGAAGAUGGAGAACGGUGAGAUGGUUGUGAAGACAAGCUUUACGCGUACCGUGGGUUGGGAGCAUCAAGGAAGCUUUGGAGGAGUUGAAGCUCAAUCCUCUCCAUCUUCUCAUGGGAUGAUAAGAUUUCGGGUGCACCUCAUUAUGCAUAUAGAGUUGACUGUUGACGGAUAAAGAUCAUCGGGCAUCACACUUCCAAAUCUCUGCCAAUUGAGAAUGGUUGUCUCCCCUAUUGUUGCUUGUAGAGGAUCAUCGGGCACAGCAGUUUCAAAUCUCUUGCCAUUGUGAGUGUUU